AUUCUCGCUACCCCCAAUGGCUAGUCAUUUCACAAAAUGCAAGUAUGAUGUAACACUGAUGUGUAAUCCGAUGUGGCACAGAUAGUUUCUGAUCCGGUGCAUAGUGGAUCUACCAUUCCACAAGAAAAAAAAAACAUUUUGAAACCCUAACCAUGAAUUAGGGUAUCGAACUGAGGUAAGUUAACACCACAGACGAUUGGCCUUGCAGGGAGCUUUUCUUUUCAUGCAUUGACACUGACUAGUGGACGCCGCUCUCGUCGGCAUAGUGCUUCAUAUGCCGUUAAUCCCUUGCAAAUCAAUGCUGUUUCUUUUGCCCAUUUGAAUGUGGGCAGGAUCUCUUGUUGCAUUCCCAUUGAGAGAAUUCUUUCCAAGGCAUCUGGCGAAGUUGCAGAGUGGCAGUAGGAGGAGCUUU
Molecule: long non-coding RNA, 412 nt
Organism: Nelumbo nucifera (sacred lotus)
Lineage: Eukaryota; Viridiplantae; Streptophyta; Magnoliopsida; Proteales; Nelumbonaceae
Source: RefSeq, a predicted model, not a curated record